Mus pahari (shrew mouse) is the source of this 2419-nucleotide RNA transcript. It is a transcript of the gene named calmodulin-binding transcription activator 1-like, with no coding region annotated. Lineage: Eukaryota; Metazoa; Chordata; Mammalia; Rodentia; Muridae. The transcript has 5 exons. The record is from RefSeq and is a predicted model, not a curated record.
GGCGGCGGCGGUACGAGGCGCGCGCUCGGGGUCCCGGUCGCGAGGAGGAGGAGGAUGUGGCGCGCGGAGGGGAAAUGGCUGCCGAAAACAAGCCGGAAGAGCGUUUCCCAAAGUGUAUUCUGCGGAACUAGCACCUACUGUGUUCUCAACACCGUGCCACCUAUAGAAGAUGAUCAUGGGAACAGCAAUAGUAGUCAUGUAAAAAUCUUUUUACCGAAAAAGCUGCUUGAAUGUCUGCCGAAAUGUUCAAGUUUACCCAAAGAGAGGCACCGCUGGAACACUAAUGAGAGAUCAUGAUGCAGCCGCCCUUUUGGAUUUCUUUUUAAUAAUGUGUGACCCUUCACCUUUGAUCCCCUGACCUGCAUUACCUUGGGUUGUUGGGAGGAUAAAUGAAACACUGAGAACUCAGAAGAAAGGUGCUUUUGAAACUGAACCUCAUCCUAUGGCUGUGCCAAGAGGCAGUGGUAGUGAACCCCGUGGUGAAGGGCCAGGACCAUGGCUGUGGAGCCAGGCUGCUGAGGUUCGAAUCCCACCUUGGCCUCUUGCAAGUGUUCUGACUGCAGCACGUUAUGUAGCCGCCCUAUUCCUGAGUUUACUGCCUCUUUAAUGGGGCGACAGUGAUAGCACGCACUCACAGGAUCAUGGUGAGUUAUAGCAGCCGGAGUGAGGUCUGUAGGGCAGCGCUAAGGGCAGAUGUUCAUGGUGUGGGACCCACUCCCCCCCUCCCAGUCCCAACAGAAGACCCACAGACAUGGUGAGUCAGGACAGAGGCAAGCUCAGAGCAGAGCUACACGACUUCCUCAUCUCUCAGAGUUCAGCUACCAGAAGCGGCCUCACCUACUACUGUUACUUUUUUUUUUUAAGGUUCUUUUGUUUACCUAUUUUGGACUUUGGCGACUAAGGAAGAGUAAAGAGGCAGUCACUGUUUACCUGGUUAGCUGGACUUGCCCUUCACUCUCCCUUGGUAAGCCCUGCAGCCAGCAUAUUGGGAAUCAGGGUGUUGAGCAGUUCAGUGUUUUCUCAACUGCAUAUGUCUUCAGUGUCCUCUUAAGUCAUGGGAAGUGACCUCCUGCCACCAUGUGUAAGAAUCUGUACCAGGUGUUCUUCCCAGUACUGUCUACACAUUUUAAUCAUCAGAUUUACCCAGGAGUUAGGCAACCGGCAGGAGUGUGCUGGUGCUCAGGUAGGUCUCCACACUCCCCAGGCUCAUGGCCCUGGUGCUCCAGAGCUGCCACUCGAGAGCAGCUGUCACCGACACUCGCUGCCUUGAACGGGACAGCUUUGCUAUUUUGGCUGCAGGGCCUCAACUGGGAUCAUCUCUUCCCUCAGUUAUCAGACAGUAACAGAACUGCCCUAAGCUUAGUAAGGCUUCACUGGAAACAGUGGCUUCUUUAAUCCUGGCUGUGUGCUGAGAGUCCCUUGCAUAGUUGGUUAAAACUUGGAUAAAUGGUCUACCCUUGUUCUGAUCCUUUCCUAGCUGAGAACUACUGAUCAGAAAUCCAGGAAGUUUACUUUAUAAAGAAAGAGAAAAGCAGGUAAAUGAUGUGCGCACAUGGAAAUAUGUCUGUCUGGAAUGUCUGGGCCAAUGCUGUUCUUCCAGAGCAGAUUACACUGCAAACUAAAAUGGUUCUCUCUGCUGGCUUAGAUGUUCAGCCAACACUAACCAGUGCCUGAAGCCUCUGCCAUUGCUCUGCGAAAUAGCCCUGAGUGAGAAGCCAUCACAGAAGCCAGGCUUGUGCUUACGUUCCGAGGUUCCUGAAGUAGAGGUCUCUGGUUUCAUUUCAGUUGCUAUGAUAUAAAACCAAAAAUCUUACAGAAAUCAUCUUGGGGAGAAAGUGUUUAUUUCAGCUCAAAACUUGCAGCUGUAGUCCAGCACUGUGGGUAAGUCCCAGCAGAGGUUGAGCCAGCUAGUCACAUCAGGUCCUCACUAGAGCUGCAAGCAGCACACCCUGAACCUAGUGCUCAGCCAGCACUGGUACUUAAGAGUUAGGGAGUGAGCUGCCCGCUUGCAGGCUGGGUCUUUCAUAUUAAUUAAGGUAUCAAGACAAUCCCUGACCAUGUCCUCACAAGACAACCCGGUCUAGACAGUAGUUCAAGACUAUCUCCUGGGUGCUAGGUUGUAGUAAGCAAUCAGAACUAAGCACCACAAGGGCCGCUCUUGCUUCCUCGGUCUGCUGCUUUUGUUUUCUCUCGUGCCUUGAACAUUUAGUUUUCCUUUCUCCUUUCUUCCUCCGUAGCUCUGCACUGUCUCUCCCCACCCCCCAGUAAUCCCUGAUGUUUACAGUGUUAUUUAUCAUCACAAUGUAAUAUAUGUACAAAUCCUCCAGGGGGCCCAGCACAUAGUAGAUGUUCCAGGGGACUUUUGAAAGUAUGUUUUGGUAUCUGUUUUUUAAGGGAGUUUUUUUGUUUUUUUAAAGAU